UGCCCAGACUCCUACGGGAGGCAGCAGUGAGGAAUAUUGGUCAAUGGGCUUACGCCUGAACCAGCCAAGUCGCGUGAGGGAAGAAUGUCCUAUGGAUUGUAAACCUCUUUUGUCAGGGAGCAAAGUCACCCACGUGUGGGUGUUGGAGGGUACCUGAAGAAAAAGCAUCGGCUAACUCCGUGCCAGCAGCCGCGGUAAUACGGAGGAUGCGAGCGUUAUCCGGAUUUAUUGGGUUUAAAGGGUGCGUAGGCGGGUUAUCAAGUCAGCGGUAAAAUCGUGGAGCUCAACUCCAUCCAGCCGUUGAAACUGGCAGUCUCGAGUUGGAGAGAAGUAUGCGGAAUGCGCGGUGUAGCGGUGAAAUGCAUAGAUAUCGCGCAGAACUCCGAUUGCGAAGGCAGCAUGCCGGCUCCACACUGACGCUGAGGCACGAAAGCGUGGGUAUCGAACAGGAUUAGAUACCCGCGUA
This 466-nucleotide ribosomal RNA is filed under the name uncultured bacterium. RNAcentral's name for it is "bacterial SSU rRNA". It matches the Rfam family "Bacterial small subunit ribosomal RNA", at positions 328 to 792 of the family's 1533-position model. The record is from RNAcentral.